Pelobates cultripes (western spadefoot toad) is the source of this 171-nucleotide non-coding RNA. The record is from the annotation of a GenBank genome assembly. NCBI's taxonomy places the organism in Eukaryota, Metazoa, Chordata, Amphibia, Anura, Pelobatidae.
GGGAGGAGGCUGCCUCCCCACACUGUAACACCUUCUCUCCCUGACCCCCUCUCCACACUGUAAUCCCUUCUCUCCCUGUUCAGUGUGGGGAGAGAAACAGGGAGAGAAGGGGUUAAAGACUGGAGUGGUCAGGGAGAGAAGGGGUUACAGUGUGGGGAGAUGGCAGGGUCA